GGAUAGCUCAGUUGGUUAGAGCUUGGUCCUGAUAGCGCCAAAGUUGCAGGUUCGAUCCCCGUAAGGAGCA
Molecule: non-coding RNA, 70 nt
Organism: Podarcis lilfordi (Lilford's wall lizard)
Lineage: Eukaryota; Metazoa; Chordata; Lepidosauria; Squamata; Lacertidae
Source: the annotation of a GenBank genome assembly